CAAGUCCAUUCAUAGUUUGAAACAGGCCUCUCGCCAGUGCUUUGCUAAAUUCUCCAGUGCUAUCCUCCGCUUUAGCUUUACUUAGUCCUGAGCCGAUACUUCUCUUUUUUUGCAUCGCAAGGAAAACUCGUUCACUGCAUUACUUGUGUAUGUGGAUGAUGUUAUUGUUGCUAGCAACAACCAAGCUCACACUACUGCCCUCAAAGAAUAUUUGAACACCUGGUUUCACAUUAAAGAUCUCGACCCUCUCAAAUAUUUCCUCGAUUCAACAGUGGUUCGAUCUCCUGAAGGCAUUGUCUUUUCUCAACACAAGUAUACAUUGGAUAUCCUGCAGAAAGCUAGCUUACACAGUACGAAGCCUGUGCCAUUUCCUGUGGAGCAAAAUCACAAAUUGGCAUUGGGCGAGAGUGCUAUUUUGGACAAUCCAUCUGCCUAUCGUCAUCUUGUUGGGAGGCUUAUUUACUUAACCACACCAGACCGGAGCUUUGCUAUUCCAUCCACAUUCUCUCUCAAUUCAUGCAUGAACCUAGACAUGGGCAUUGGAUGGCCGGCCUUCGGGUCUUGCGCUACCUUAAAUUUGCUCCUGGUCAAGGCAUUUUCCUCUCCUCCAAAUCUGGUUUUCAACUUCAUGCCUACUGUGAUUCAGACUAGGCGAGCUGCCCUCUCACUCGCCGUUUGAUUACUGGAUAUAUUAUUUUUGUUGGUUGUUCUCCCAUUUCUUGGAAGACCAAGAAGCAAACUACCAUUUCUCGCUCUUCAGCUGAAUAUCGCUCCAUGGCCUCCACUGCUUGUGAACUCAUUUGGCUUCACACUUUGCUUCAGGAUUUAUCCGUUCACACUUUUUCGCCGGCUCAGCUUCAUUGCGACACCGUGCUACCAUACACAUUGCUGCCAACCUCGUUUAUCAUGAAUGCACUAAACAUAUCGAGAUUGACUGCCACUUCAUUCACGAUUGCUUUAAGUCCGGCUCCACUGCCACAUUAUAUGUUUCCUCUGAUCGACAAAUAGCUGACAUCUUCACCAAAGCUCUCGGCAAUAACCAGUUCCACUUUCUAGUUGGCAAGGUGUCCAUUCAUGAUCUCCAUGCUCUAACUUGAGGGGCGUAUUAGAAUAAUCACAAAUUGGGCAUUAUUAUGGCAUGAUAUCAGCUGAAUAUUUUCCUUACUGUAUUUCCUUUUUCAUCUUUAUUAUGUAUUCCUUUCCAGUACCAUAGUAUUAAUUAGAAAAAAGAGCUGGAGCUAAAGGCUCCUCACUGUGUACAUAUAUCUUCAGGCUCAACCAUAAUAAAAUCAAGCUUUACCGCAUCUUUAAAUUUAUCAAGAAAGCAUUCCAAUUUUUCCAGCACCCAUUUUCUCCAUAUCUUCCCUGUUUUCAAAGUAACCAACAUAUUCGGAACAUAUAAGAUUAGACGAAUUUAGAAAUAAAUAUGGAACCAAGAAGUUAACACGAUAAACGAAUUAUCUUGUGGAGCCUUAUGUUUAUGAGCACCAUUGACAGCAAUAGCAAGUCCUGCUGUUAGAACACUAUUUACAAAACUCACUCCAUGCUUCAGCUUCUCCUUUUUAUUCUUUCAAUUGGAGGAGACAUGAAUGGGGGAUUGAAGAGAUAAGCUUCGAUAUGAAUACAAAUCUUGACCAUAUUUCUCCCCAUUAGUAGAGCUAUGGAUAAACCUAGUGAAUGUCCUGCUAACUAGACAUUCCCUAAUCCAGCUUUGUAGACAAAGUUCUGGGUAGCUUCCAUUCCAACCCGAAAUCGUGAACUCUUUUGAAGAUUAUUGAUAAUGCAGUGAAGAUUUAGCUUAAAAUCCUGUGACCGAUUGCUCAGUUUGUUGAUUGUGCCUCAGAAGGCAAUCACAUAUUUUGGGGGACUUUGGCUGCCGGGGUAGUUCGGAUAUGGAUAGUGGAAUUUGAAUUCAUAAAUGAUGCCAAAGAAUGACUGAUCGUCCUCAUCCACUAGAACUUGGUUCAACACGAAAUUGAAGGAUUCCCACCAUGGAGAAGCAAAAGCUUGAGGGCCUAGGCAGUUUUGCCGGCGGUCAUGUUCAAGUAUGUAGACUCCCUUAACAAGGCUCGCAGCAAUGGACUUUUGAUGAUGUGAGUUAUUCCAAGAACACCACCAUGAAAGUUGUCAAUUUUACAUUGAAAUGUGUAAACUUGAUAACAUGUAUAGUGCAAUGUAGAAAUUAAAAUUUCCAAUUAGAAGUAAAAAUUAACUCAGCAAUCAAUAGUUGUCGGGUAUGAUGGUCCAGCAAGGCUAAAAAUUUCCCUCUCAGAGGCCAUUCAGUCCCAAGGUUUCCAAAUUACGAUGCCCCUAAUAAAAUUUUCCAUUUAAUAUGGCCUGUUACUUUUUGAUACAAGUAUAAGACAAGGAAGAAAAGGCCAAGAUCUCAACUGAGGAAUGGAAUCAAUUCUGCCCUAAGAAGACAGGUGCAACUAUGAGUUUCAUGAAGAGUUCGAUUCUGACUUGGGAUGAGCAAAUACAGAGUACUUCACACUUUCAAAUAUGACACCGAGUGGUGUGUGACAAGCUCUAAUGUGAAAGAUUAAGGUAAUAAUUUGUUUCAUUAGUAUAUUCCCGUAUAAUAUUUUUCAUUCUGACAAAUGAUAGCUAAAGAUGGAGGUGUUCAAAAAUGGGAUUGCGACUCACCUCGCAAUUACAUUCAAAUUAAUUACUUAACUAGACCUAGUUUCUUCAAUAUCCAACUUGUUUAACAAUCAGAAAACAAGGGCACCAACCUCUUUUAGAUUUCAAUUCAAAUAAGAAAUUACAUUUCCAAGAGUUUGUACCACAUUCCUUGUGUAGGCAAUCGAGUUCUAUAAAACCAUUCAGAAUCUCCUAUUUUCCAAAUAACUUGAGCACAAGAAAUUAAUCAUUAUAAAUAUUCUCACAAACUCACGAAUCAUGCAUUCACGAUAUCCAUGUCGAGUUAGAUUGCAAGAACACGUCAUUUAGUCGUAAUUCAAAUGUCAACACCAACAAACUGCCACUGUUUCAGAGCCUUUAUUUUGGGGGAAAUGUAUUUUCUAAUAGUUAUAUUUUUGGAUAAUGUGUGGUAAAUUAGGUUUAAAAGUAAAAUUAUUUAAUUGGAGAAUGAGAAAUUGAAAAUGAGUUUUGGAAAAAAAAUGAGGCUCAAACAGGAUUUGGAUAUGUUAUCCAAAUUCCUUUUCACCACUUGGAUCUAAUUCAUUACUACAUUUAGGAGAACAAUUAAUAGUAAUUCAAAAGAAAAAAUAUUACCAAACGUGUAAAAGAGAGAACUCAAUAAUUAGUCCAUGAAAGCAGUUACUGUACGAAAUGUGAUGACUGCACAGAUGAAAACUUGGUGAAGCAAAAAAAUUCAAAAUUCAGACAAAUAUUUCAUAACUGUAUAAUUUUUACAAGCAGAUAAGUGAUACCAAAAAGAACAAGUGCUGUCCUCCACACAGGAAAUUGUUGAAGUUAUUCAACUCUUUUACAUGUAAAUGUUCAACUGUGUAUGUAUAUUCAAAGAGGGGAGGAGAAGAAGCCGAUUGGAUGUUAUCAAAAAGUGUGAACAAUUGGGCGCUAUAGUUUUAUUCACGACAAGUAAAAUGCUUUAAAAAGUCAAUGAUGUUUACUAAUACGGAAAAAAUAAACGAAACUUGUAAUAAUUUAACAUAUUCUAAACUGUACAAUAUGCAUAUAAUUUGAAACCCUAGAAUUGCAUCGAAGUCAAUUGAGAGAAUGGUAGGCGACAAUACGUACCUUUCCAGCAAUCCGCAUCGGACAAUGAAGAUUAUAUAUAAAAUUGCCAGCUAAAUAUUUAAAAUUUGGGGGAAAAUUAGGAGUUUCCUUGCAGUUUCAUUGUCCCUGGGGCUGGCUCAGAAAUUGACAAAUUAUCACGCGGCUUCAUCGUGCAUUGCGGCGUUGGCAUUUUUGGUGAGCUCGUUUUGAG
This 3913-nucleotide long non-coding RNA is filed under the name Olea europaea subsp. europaea. Lineage: Eukaryota; Viridiplantae; Streptophyta; Magnoliopsida; Lamiales; Oleaceae. The record is from RNAcentral.